This 253-nucleotide ribosomal RNA is filed under the name uncultured bacterium. RNAcentral describes it as "partial 16S ribosomal RNA". It matches the Rfam family "Bacterial small subunit ribosomal RNA", at positions 524 to 776 of the family's 1533-position model. The record is from RNAcentral.
UACGUAGGCAGCGAGCGUUGUUCGGAGUUACUGGGCGUAAAGAGUAUGUAGGCGGUUGCGUAAGUUUGGUGUGAAAUCUCCCGGCUUAACUGGGAGGGUGCGCCGAAAACUGCGGAGCUAGAGUGUGGGAGAGGAAAGCGGAAUUCCUGGUGUAGCGGUGAAAUGCGUAGAUAUCAGGAGGAACACCGGUGGUGUAGACGGCUUUCUGGACCAUUACUGACGCUGAGAUACGAAAGCGUGGGUAGCAAACAGG